GUUAUAUAGAAUUAGGCUCAGAUUAGGUUAUAUAGAAUUAGGUUAGGCUCAGAUGAGGUUAUAUAGAAUUAGGUUAGGCUGAGAUGGGGUUAUAUAGAAUUAGGUUAGGCUGAGAUGAGGUUAUAUAGAAUUAGGUUAGGCUGAGAUGAGGUUAUAUAGAAUUAGGUUAGGCUGAGAUGAGGUUAUAUAGAAUUAGGCUCAGAUGAGGUUAUAUAGAAUUAGGUUAGGCUGAGAUGAGGUUAUAUAGAAUUAGGCUCAGAUGAGGUUAUAUAGAAUUAGGUUAGGCUCAGAUGAGGUUAUAUAGAAUUAGGUUAGGCUGAGAUGAGGUUAUAUAGAAUUAGGUUAGGCUGAGAUGAGGUUAUAUAGAAUUAGGCUCAGAUGAGGUUAUAUAGAAUUAGGUUAGGCUCAGAUGAGGUUAUAUAGAAUUAGGUUAGGCUGAGAUGGGGUUAUAUAGAAUUAGGUUAGGCUGAGAUGAGGUUAUAUACAAUUAGGCUCAGAUGAGGUUAUAUAGAAUUAGGUUAGGCUGAGAUGAGGUUAUAUAGAAUUAGGUUAGGCUGAGAUGAGGUUAUAUAGAAUUAGGCUCAGAUGAGGUUAUAUAGAAUUAGGUUAGGCUCAGAUGGGGUUAUAUAAAAUUAGGUUAGGCUGAGAUGGGGUUAUAUAAAAUUAGGUUAGGCUGAGAUGAGGUUAUAUAGAAUUAGGCUCAGGUGAGGUUAUAUAGAAUUAGGUUAGGCUCAGAUGAGGUUAUAUAGAAUUAGGUUAGGCUGAGAUGGGGUUAUAUAGAAUUAGGUUAGGCUGAGAUGAGGUUAUAUACAAUUAGGUUGUACAGCAUCCUGCGCUAAGACUGUUAUCUGUAUAGGGUAGUUAAGACUGUUAUCUGUAUAGGGUAGUUAAGACUGUUAUCUGUAUAGGGUAGUUAAGACUGUUAUCUGUACAGGGUAGUUAAGACUGUUAUCUGUACAGGGUAGUUAAGACUGUUAUCUGUAUAGUAUAGUUUUAACUUUUUAAAAAUCUGUUUUUAACUAGGCAAGUCAGUUAAGAACAAAUUCUUAUUUUCAAUGACGGCCUACCAGGGAACAGUGGGUUUAACUGCCUUGUUCAGGAGAAGAACGACAGAACGACAGUCAUAGCCACUAGGCUACCUGCCACCUGUUUUCUGUAUGGGGUAGCUAAGACUGUUAUCUGUAUAGGGUAGUUAAGACUGUUAUCUGUAUAGGGUAGUUAAGACUGUUAUCUGUAUAGGGUAGUUAAGACUGUUAUCUGUAUAGGGUAGUUAAGACUGUUAUCUGUAUAGGGUAGUUAAGACUGUUAUCUGUAUAGGGUAGUUAAGACUGUUAUCUGUACAGGGUAGUUAAGACUGUUGUUAUCUGUAUAGGGUAGUUAAGACUGUUAUCUGUAUAGGGUAGUUAAGACUGUUAUCUGUACAGGGUAGUUAAGACUGUUGUCUGUAUAGGGUAGUUAAGACUGUUAUCUGUAUAGGGUAGUUAAGACUGUUGUCUGUAUAGGGUAGUUAAGACUGUUAUCUGUAUAGGGUAGUUAAGACUGUUGUC
Non-coding RNA from Oncorhynchus mykiss (rainbow trout), 1547 nucleotides. The record is from RefSeq and is a predicted model, not a curated record. NCBI's taxonomy places the organism in Eukaryota, Metazoa, Chordata, Actinopteri, Salmoniformes, Salmonidae.